AUCAUUGCGGGAUCAAUUGGUUCCCUGGGGGCGAGGCGCUUUCGGGGAGUAAAUGGGAACGUGACGGGUGGACCCAUUCUGGGCACCUUCAUCACGGCCGACCCCGCGACUGUAGAGCGGUCAGAGUUUGUCAUGCCGGUUUGUUCAGCCGGUAAAAGCCACUAGGGCGACGGGUUUUUCAAGCCCUGCCCCGGGAAGGUGAGACAGGCUCCUUGGCGCGAAAGCGCCUGACGCCGCGAGCCAGGAAACCUGCCGGUUGAUGAAGGGCAUG
Molecule: non-coding RNA, 271 nt
Filed under: Rhizobium sp.
Lineage: Bacteria; Pseudomonadati; Pseudomonadota; Alphaproteobacteria; Hyphomicrobiales; Rhizobiaceae
Source: RNAcentral